Molecule: ribosomal RNA, 440 nt
Filed under: uncultured bacterium
Lineage: Bacteria
Description: partial 16S ribosomal RNA
Rfam family: Bacterial small subunit ribosomal RNA
Source: RNAcentral
CCUACGGGCGGCAGCAGUAGGGGAUAUUGCUCAAUGGGGGAAACCCUGAAGCAGCAACGCCGCGUGGGGGAUGAAGGUUUUCGGAUUGUAAACUCCUUUUGUUAGAGAAGAUAAUGACGGUAUCUAACGAAUAAGCACCGGCUAACUACGUGCCAGCAGCCGCGGUAAUACGGAGGGUGCAAGCGUUACUCGGAAUCACUGGGCGUAAAGAGCGCGUAGGCGGGGUAGCAAGUCAGAUGUGAAAUCCUAUGGCUUAACCAUAGGACUGCAUUUGAAACUGUUAUUCUAGAGUAUGGGAGAGGUAGGUGGAAUUCUUGGUGUAGGGGUAAAAUGCGUAGAGAUCAAGAGGAAUACUCAUUGCGAAGGCGACCUGCUAGAACAUAACUGACGCUGAUGCGCGAAAGCGUGGGGAGCAAACAGGAUUAGAUACCCCUGUAGUC